Molecule: ribosomal RNA, 492 nt
Filed under: uncultured bacterium
Lineage: Bacteria
Description: partial 16S ribosomal RNA
Rfam family: Bacterial small subunit ribosomal RNA
Source: RNAcentral
AGUGAACGCUGGCGGUAGGCCUAACACAUGCAAGUCGAACGGCAGCACAGUAAGAGCUUGCUCUUACGGGUGGCGAGUGGCGGACGGGUGAGGAAUACAUCGGAAUCUACUUUUUCGUGGGGGAUAACGUAGGGAAACUUACGCUAAUACCGCAUACGACCUACGGGUGAAAGAAGGGGAUCUUCGGACCUUGCGCGAUCGAAUGAGCCGAUGUCGGAUUAGCUAGUUGGCGGGGUAAAGGCCCACCAAGGCGACGAUCCGUAGCUGGUCUGAGAGGAUGAUCAGCCACACUGGAACUGAGACACGGUCCAGACCCCUACGGGAGGCAGCAGUGGGGAAUAUUGGACAAUGGGCGCAAGCCUGAUCCAGCCAUACCGCGUGAGUGAAGAAGGCCUUCGGGUUGUAAAGCCCUUUUGUUGGGAAAGAAAAGCAGCAUGUUAAUACCCCGCUGUUCUGACGGUACCCAAAGAAUAAGCACCGGCUAACUUCGUG